AUGGAAGACUUCCACAAUGGACGCAAGUCUGAUGGAGCAACGCCGCGUGAGUGAAGAAGGUUUUCGGACCGUAAAGCUCUGUUGUUGGUGAAGAAGGAUAGAGGUAGUAACUGGCCUUUAUUUGACGGUAAUCAACCAGAAAGUCACGGCUAACUACGUGCCAGCAGCCGCGGUAAUCGUAGGUGGCAAGCGUUGUCCGGAUUUAUUGGGCGUAAAGCGAGCGCAGGCGGAAGAAUAAGUCUGAUGUGAAAGCCCUCGGCUUAACCGAGGAAUUGCAUCGGAAACUGUUUUCUUGAGUGCAGAAGAGGAGAGUAGAACUCCAUGUGUAGCGGUGGAAUGCGUAGAUAUAUGGAAGAAUACCAGUGGCGAAGGCGGCUCUCUGGUCUGCAACUGACGCUGAGGCUCGAAAGCAUGGGUAGCGAACAGGAUUAGAUACCCUGGUAGUCCAUGCCGUAAACGAUGAGUGCUAAGUGUUGGGAGGCUUCCGCCUCUCAGUGCUGCAGCUAACGCAUUAAGCACUCCGCCUGGGGGAGUACGACCGCAAGGUUGAAACUCU
RNAcentral lists this ribosomal RNA (556 nucleotides) under uncultured bacterium. RNAcentral describes it as "partial 16S ribosomal RNA". It matches the Rfam family "Bacterial small subunit ribosomal RNA", at positions 355 to 903 of the family's 1533-position model. The record is from RNAcentral.